AGUGAACGCUGGCGGUAGGCCUAACACAUGCAAGUCGAACGGCAGCACAGUAAGAGCUUGCUCUUACGGGUGGCGAGUGGCGGACGGGUGAGGAAUACAUCGGAAUCUACUUUUUCGUGGGGGAUAACGUAGGGAAACUUACGCUAAUACCGCAUACGGCCUACGGGUGAAAGCAGGGGAUCUUCGGACCUUGCGCGAUUGAAUGAGCCGAUGUCGGAUUAGCUAGUUGGCGGGGUAAAGGCCCACCAAGGCGACGAUCCGUAGCUGGUCUGAGAGGAUGAUCAGCCACACUGGAACUGAGACACGGUCCAGACUCCUACGGGAGGCAGCAGUGGGGAAUAUUGGACUAUGGGCGCAAGCCUGAUCCAGCCAUACCGCGUGGGUGAAGAAGGCCUUCGGGUUGUAAAGCCCUUUUGUUGGGAAAGAAAAGCAGCAGGUUAAUACCCCGCUGUUCUGACGGUACCCAAAGAAUAAGCACCGGCUAACUUCGUG
RNAcentral lists this ribosomal RNA (492 nucleotides) under uncultured bacterium. RNAcentral describes it as "partial 16S ribosomal RNA". It matches the Rfam family "Bacterial small subunit ribosomal RNA", at positions 29 to 507 of the family's 1533-position model. The record is from RNAcentral.